GGGAGAUGUAAGCAUUCAGCCUAUAGCACAAUACAAAAGGAAGAUUUUUAUUUGUGUCUCUACCUACUAUUCCUGAGUCCUGAAACUGAAAGAGAUUCUACUUCUCAGACUUGAAUAAAUUUUAUGUGGCUUCUUUUCUAAAAGUCCACCUGCCAUACAGGUCUCAGAUUCCUCUAUCUUUUUAAUCAACCGGAGCUAUAGUCCAGUGAUGCUGCUGCUCUAAAGACCUAACUUUAUCAGAAAGUGAGCUGGGACCAAGAGCCUCAAACUUGAGUGCACAGAUGAUCAGGACCAGGAAACUGGUCAGACAUGUAAUGUUGACAGAGCAUGGAAUGGAAUGUGCUUACGACUGAGCCAACCAGUAUGUAAACAGGCCACUGCCCACAUGGCACAAUGUGCUGAGAGCUAAGACGUUUCCCUGACACUUUUCCUUGAUAUGCCUCCCGUUGUGAAAUUUUUAGGACUUGUUCUUCAGGGACAAAGGGGUUGACAGGUAGGAGAGACUAACACACUGGUAGGGUUUAGUUGACCUGAUGAGGCUUGUUUUGUCAAAU
This 554-nucleotide long non-coding RNA is filed under the name Vulpes vulpes (red fox). RNAcentral's name for it is "lncRNA (ENSVVUG00000007635.1)". Lineage: Eukaryota; Metazoa; Chordata; Mammalia; Carnivora; Canidae. The record is from RNAcentral.